RNAcentral lists this long non-coding RNA (934 nucleotides) under Medicago truncatula (barrel medic). Its description in RNAcentral is "long non-coding RNA (MTRU_LNC003767)". The record is from RNAcentral. Lineage: Eukaryota; Viridiplantae; Streptophyta; Magnoliopsida; Fabales; Fabaceae.
GCAAUUAUUUUAAUAUAAAAAAAAAUUUUUUAAUAAAUAAGUAUUAAUAGGCCGGCCUAUUAGGCUUAACAGUCUUUUUUUGAAGCCUAAGCUUGGCCUAUUUAACUAAACAGGCUUUCUAAAAAGCCUAAGCCUAGGCCUAUCUACUAAACAGUCCAGGCCAGGCCAGGCCAAAACAGGCCAGGCCGUAGGCCCCUGUAGGCCGGCCUAGCCUAUUCCCAACCCUAUUCACAAUCUAGUUCUAUAAACACCUUUGAUAGGCCUUAUGUACCAAGCCAAUCUUCCGCUUCUUGAGGAGGGGAGCUUCCUUUAAGAAAUGGCCCCUAGAAUUCCGAAUGCACAUAAAAAGGCCAAAACACCUAUACGCCUCAAACAUUGUCGCAUCUACAUAGCAUUUCACGAAAUCCUCAUUUGGUGGUUGCCAAACUUCUAUAUGUUAUUGUUGGUGCUGUACCGAUGCUGCUGGUGUAGACCACACUUCCUGCCGUUGAAAAAGAGAUUCAUGUGCAUGUGGGACAACUAUAUUAACGAUAGGCUUUUAAAUCAACGUCCUGUACUUUGUCAUUACGAUGGCGCCAAACCUGUUUCUAGCAUGAAAACCCAAAAAGAGGGGAAAAUGAAAGUGGGUAAAAAAUAAUAAUAUUAGUGAAGAUAAACAUUAUUUUAUAGUGAAAUCUUUACAAGAAAUGCAGUAAAUUGAGUGCACGAAAAGACAAACACGACACAUGGAUAUAAUCAAGAGAUAUUUAAUUAUUUUAUUAUUAUUAAUGUCUUCUAUUGAUUACUGUAAAAAUUUAUUUCCCAAUAUAUAAAUGCUAAAACUAGGAUAUGAUCAAACAAUUUUCAAUUUGUUACAUCUAAACUAAAGCAAAGAAACAUGACUACAAUUCUAAAGUUUGCUUAUAUUAUGAUUACAUGUCUUUUCCUGCUUCAC